Molecule: RNA transcript, 1580 nt
Organism: Syzygium oleosum
Lineage: Eukaryota; Viridiplantae; Streptophyta; Magnoliopsida; Myrtales; Myrtaceae
Gene name: protein TIFY 4B-like
Exons: 9
Source: RefSeq, a predicted model, not a curated record
UCUCUCUCUAGCGCGACGCCGCCGCCGCCGCCGCCGGGAGCCGGCGCAAUCGGCCGCCGGGAUGGCGUCGCUCGGCUGCAUCCUCGACAAGCCCCUCGACCAGCUCACGGAGGACGACAUCUCGCAGCUCACCCGCGAGGAUUGCCGCAAAUUCCUCAAGGACAAAGGGAUGAGGAGGCCGUCGUGGAACAAAUCCCAGGCGAUCCAGCAGGUCAUUUCGCUCAAGGCGCUGCUCGAAGGCCACGGGGACGACGACGCCGGAGCCAAGACGCUGAGGAAGAUCGUCGCCUCGUCCGCGGAGGACCCCGCGCCGCGGGCGAACUCGAACUCGAACUCGCCCGACUCGGCGAAGGAGCUGAGCGCCGGCGCCAGCGUUUCGGAAUUCGCGGACGAAGCCGUCCCGUACCGGCGGAAAGAUCCGCCGGAGUCGGCGCCUCACGGAGGAGAUGUGGCUUUGGCCGGGGCGGACCUGGAGAGAAAUGCGGUUAGUCCCAGAAAUGUUGGUGCUGGAGAGGUUACGCUGGGGCAAAUGACAAUUUUCUACUGUGGCAAGGUGAAUGUAUAUGACAGAGUGUCUCCUGACAAGGCGCGGGCAAUCAUGCAACUUGCAGCUAGUCCAAUCCCUUUGCCGCUGGAUGAUUCAUCAAACGGAAGUGCGGCAAUUUGGUCAUUCCCUUGUCAUAUGCAGGCCACAAGUGAGAACUCGUGCCUAUUGCCUCCGAGAGCAAUGGUCUCUCAUACAACACAAACAGACAUGGAAGGUCAUAUGAAUCGGAAAGUUAGGCUGCAGAAGUACUUUGACAAGCGAAAGGACAGGGGCAGAUUUAAAUCCAGGAAAGAUGCUGGACCAGCCUCUUCAGGCUUGGAGAUGUUCCAAAUAAGGAUGCCUUUUCCAGAUGGACAAUUAAGCAAAAAUGCAAGGACCUGUGCACCACAACCUGGGAUGGCUCACGGGAAAAACAGGUUCAAAAUUUUAUUUUUGCCAUAGAUAGAUCAAUAGGUCUGCAGGGGACUACAGACUUGAUUGAAUACCUUAAGGUCCCUAAUAUGGAGAUAUUAUGUAAGGGCGUGGCCCUGGGAGCCGAUGAUGGUAGUUUCGUUGAGAUAAUAGCUAUACCUCGAAUAAAUGGCAAAAUGAUGGAACUGGUCUUACUGCAGUCGAUGUGUUCUGCAUCUGCGGACAUAUAUCUGCCCGUUCUCGUUAGAGAUCUCUAGAGGAGGACCGGCUUUGGAUCGCAUGUCUUCGCACUCGUCGUCGGAUCAAAUUUUGUAUAUUCUAGAAGUUCAAUGUUAUCUUCGAGGCUAUCUUGAUUGAUGAUGCUGAGGUUAGUUAAUCGAGAGAAGCUUUUCCACGCUCUCUCUCCCCUUACGUGCCACGAUGUAAGCAAUAUCCAUAUGUAAAAGAUGCGCUACGCCAUCUGCCGGUAUCGGCAUAGCUUAUGCUAGUUUAGGUUUAGCUCGAUGAUUGUACUCCUUUUCUCACAGUGAUUGAGUUGAGGGCUGUUGGAGCAUUUGUCUUGAAGCCGAUGAUGCCGAACAAAAACGGCUAUUCUAUCGCUCGAAUUGGAAUACCUUUUGGA